Molecule: small nucleolar RNA, 132 nt
Filed under: Setaria italica (foxtail millet)
Lineage: Eukaryota; Viridiplantae; Streptophyta; Magnoliopsida; Poales; Poaceae
Description: Small nucleolar RNA Z247
Rfam family: Small nucleolar RNA Z247
About the family: Z247 is a member of the C/D class of snoRNA which contain the C (UGAUGA) and D (CUGA) box motifs. Most of the members of the box C/D family function in directing site-specific 2'-O-methylation of substrate RNAs.
Source: Rfam by way of RNAcentral
AAGGGUGAAGAUGAUCAGAUGGUGUCCUUCAUACUCACCGGGUUAGAUUCUGAUUACAACCCAAUUGUCACCUCAGUUAUGGGUCGGAUUGAUCCAAUUCUCCUUAGUGAACUCUAUGCACAAGUAAUGGCA